AUUGAACGCUGGCGGCAGGCCUAACACAUGCAAGUCGAGCGGAUGAAGGGAGCUUGCUCCUGGAUUCAGCGGCGGACGGGUGAGUAAUGCCUAGGAAUCUGCCUGGUAGUGGGGGAUAACGUCCGGAAACGGGCGCUAAUACCGCAUACGUCCUGAGGGAGAAAGUGGGGGAUCUUCGGACCUCACGCUAUCAGAUGAGCCUAGGUCGGAGUAGCUAGUUGGUGGGGUAAAGGCCUACCAAGGCGACGAUCCGUAACUGGUCUGAGAGGAUGAUCAGUCACACUGGAACUGAGACACGGUCCAGACUCAUACGGGAGGCAGCAGUGGGGAAUAUUGGACAAGGGGCGAAAGCCUGAUCCAGCCAUGCCGCGUGUGUGAAGAAGGUCUUCGGCUUGUAAAGCACUUUAAGUUGGGAGGAAGGGCAGUACGUUAAUACCUUGCUGUUUUGACGUUACCCACAGAAUAAGCACCGGCUAACUUCGUG
Molecule: ribosomal RNA, 484 nt
Filed under: uncultured bacterium
Lineage: Bacteria
Description: partial 16S ribosomal RNA
Rfam family: Bacterial small subunit ribosomal RNA
Source: RNAcentral